This 236-nucleotide ribosomal RNA is filed under the name Stilbula sp. D2692. RNAcentral's name for it is "partial 28S ribosomal RNA". It matches the Rfam family "Eukaryotic large subunit ribosomal RNA", at positions 945 to 1155 of the family's 3401-position model. Lineage: Eukaryota; Metazoa; Arthropoda; Insecta; Hymenoptera; Eucharitidae. The record is from RNAcentral.
UAGUAGCUGGUUCCCUCCGAAGUUUCCCUCAGGAUAGCUGGCACUCGUUUAAAUCGAGUCUCAUCUGGUAAAGCGAAUGAUUAGAGGCCUCUUGGGGCCGAAACGACCUCAACCUAUUCUCAAACUUUAAAUGGGUGAGAUCUCUGGCUUGCUUGAAACUUGAAGCCACGAGAUUUUUCAUUGUAAAAAAUGGAUCAGAGUGCCNAGUGGGCCAAUUUUGGUAGNNNAAACUGGCG